CAAAGGGUAAGAUGUGCUUCCUAGUUUUCUUUUAGGAGAGAAGUGUUGGAAUUUGUGACGAGCCAAGCGAGACACAUCUGAGAUCUGGCUGCCGGACACUUUGAGAUCCUGAAAAAUAAUUGUGCCAUAUCUUCACAAGACUGCUCCGCAGGUCAAGGCUGCUGGGUGGCGGCAGUGAGCUCUGACCUUUGUUUGACCAGCCUGAGAGACAGUGCUGCGCAGGAUCGGACAGAUGCAGGAAGAUGUGAGAUUGAGCUACGGAAACCAUCUCGCACACAGGUCCUGUGAGUUCCAGCGAUAAGGCGGACUUGGGCCUCGCAUCCUGCGGCCUGUUGUGGACUCGCAGAUGUCGGUCGCUGUCUUUGAAAAGGUCAGACGGUGUCGUAUGUUCAGCAGAGCGUCCACUCUGUUUGGAGGUCAAAGGUGGCGUUGUAAUAUUGCUCCGG
This is a long non-coding RNA of Larimichthys crocea (large yellow croaker), 446 nucleotides long. RefSeq lists it as uncharacterized. The transcript has 4 exons. The record is from RefSeq and is a predicted model, not a curated record. NCBI's taxonomy places the organism in Eukaryota, Metazoa, Chordata, Actinopteri, Sciaenidae.